This 2634-nucleotide ribosomal RNA is filed under the name Triticum aestivum (bread wheat). Its description in RNAcentral is "partial small subunit ribosomal RNA". The record is from RNAcentral. Lineage: Eukaryota; Viridiplantae; Streptophyta; Magnoliopsida; Poales; Poaceae.
AUGGCUCGUGUUCAUCGUCAUAACGAUGAUGAUGAUUUCAUGGAUCCACCACAGCAUAAUCGGGCAACUGGACGGAGAAAAGAGGGCGAUGAGAAGAAGAAACGUAUUCGCAACAGAGCCUCCCAAGAACGACUGACUACAUUGACUGACAGAUUUACCAACGAUCAGAAGGGAGCUGCUGCUGAGAUGGGUAUGCAGGUUCUGAUGAAUGUUCGGUGCACGAAUCUUGUCAACCUUGUAUGCGACUGGCUUGGUGAGAUUUACGACCCCGCCUCCAGGGAAUUUGUGAUUCCGGGACGUGGAAGACUACCGUUGAACGAGGAAUAUGUGUUCUGCACUUUGGGUGUGCCUUGUGGACAAAUCAAAGACCCGUACGAGGCCAUGACAACCCAUGGAAAUGUUUUUAAGAUGAAGCUACUCAUGUACCUCAUCUCAGCUGUUUUCGCGCUGACCACUUCUCUUCACCCAAGCAAUAAAUGCUUCCCCAUCCUGGCAAAACUGGAAGAUGUGAAGAACAUGAAUUGGUGUAAGUUCAUAGCUGACUUCCUGCACGAUGCAUUCUCAAACAAGAUGUACCAAAAGGGUCGUCGACUGCAUUUAAUGCUCAUGUACGUCGACUGUCUUGAUCUGUCCACAGUGGAUUUCACUGGGACAGGAGGCCCGCCGCCUACGCACAAGUUUGCUGUUUCUGCGUGGACUAUCAACGCUGUCAAGACUGUGCUUGCUGCAGACAGGCUGAUGGCCAAGCAUGCUAUAGGCUACAGCGUGUUUGGGGGGCCUCAAAACUUUGGAAAGUGGAUGGACGUGCACUCAGCUCCGUCUUACCCUACUGAGGCGAGGGCACAUGUUGAGCAUCUAAUUGGGCAGUUUGCAUCCGGAAUGACCGGCUUACUUAGGAAGUUGAUUGAGGGGUGGACGUCUCUUAGUGGCUCUGACAGUGACGCGGUUGCGAGGCAGUUUAUUUCAUUUGUCCCAGAACGGACACAUCGGCCAACUGGUUGUCGUGGCCGGUAUGACUACAACAGUUCCCAAGAGCUUGCUGACACACAAGAUGAACUAGAUGGAGAUGCUGGUCUCAGCAAGGAUGACGACGAUGACAUGGAGAACGCGGAAGAGGACACCGAUGAUGAUGAACAUGCUGAAGUUCGUGUAGGUGCUAACAAGGGGAAGGAUGCACCAGAUGUCCCCCCCACCGGAGAAAGUCAAAGAACAUACGGCUGUGGGAGGCGAGGGGGUGUUGCCAUCAAAGAGGGGGAGGUCUCCAGAGGAUGUUGGGCAGGGUUCUCCUGGCAAGAGGCUAGAACAACGGGCAUCCAUACAUCGGGGAGUGACGAGUCGGUGUCUGCCAGGACAGCUGAAAUAUUGCCCACUCUUCUGGCAAUGAAGGAUGCUGCUGUGAGCCAUGCCACCCCACCAGGAAGUGUUGAAGUGGAUGCCCCCGAGACCAACCUAAGCAAGGAAGAUUCCCGAUCGUCUGACACUGAUUCCAAGCGCGUGCGUGGUGGCACUCCUGUGCCCACGAUAGAAGUUGCUGAGGCGGCAGUUCAUAAUGAUAUGCCAUCUGCAGGUGAUAGUCUUGGCACAACAGCUCCAUCUCCUGGCGGUGCAGAUAUUGCUCAGGCCACUGUUCCGCGUGCUGGUCUUCCACCUAGGCGUCGUAGCCCCCGCAAGCAAUCAAUAGUCGUAUCCAACGCACCAGCUGCAGCUAGGAGCAGCAGAGAUGAGUCUGGUUACGUCCCUGCGUCCACACUGUUCCCGCCAACUGCCAAAAGCAAUGUUAUGGAGAAACUAGAAGACCAGAGUACAACUGAUGCAGGUGCCAAGCCAGGCACGAGUGAUGAAGGUGAACGUCUGGAGCAGACCGCGCCUUUACCCGCAGUGGAAAUCCCCAGCUUAAAUCUGCGCACUUCCAAACUCUCAAUCAACAUCGGUGUCCCCUACAGCCCCAACAAGAGGAUUGUCAACAAAUCUACGCCCGUCACCACUGAUAGCACACCCCACCCUAUUAACAAGCCUGUUGAUUCUGCAACGGCUGAUUCAGAUAUGUUUGUUGAUCUUUCACCAUUGGAUUCUGCCCCGCAAGUUGUUCGCGGUCCGGCCAGUAGGCAUGAGAGGCACCCAAUGGCCUUCACCCCACCGAGCUUCAGCCUUGGCGUUAGUCAAGAUCAACCAGUGGCUCAAGAUUCUAUGCCAGUUGCCUUUGCUUUUCCAGGAGGCAUGCCUGCAAUGAUGGCGCAGCCAAUGGUUGAGGGCAGGAAGGUUGUCAAGUUCGUUGAGCCGAUCGUCCAAGGUAUCCUAAACCACAUUUUCAUCCUUGCAGGCACCCCUGAGGAGAUUUUGCCGUCUCUUGAUGAAGCUUACCGUAGGAUUGAGGAGGCAGCAUUGCAGAGGAGGUCCUCACGAGGUCAGGGGCAAUCAAGUUUCAAUGUGCCUGCAGAUACGGUAUCUGAGGAUACCAUUAGGAGUGCCACCCCUGGUUCUGUGAGGCAGCAGAGGGUAGUUCACCCACCCCCCGCGGAAGACUACGAGCCUGAAGUCAGGGCCACGAAGGAACAAAUCCAACUGUAUGAUAUUGUCAAGCGAUUUUGUAAUGCGAGGGCCAGCAGCAAGCACAUGAAGGAACUGAAAGCGUAA